This 468-nucleotide ribosomal RNA is filed under the name uncultured bacterium. Its description in RNAcentral is "partial 16S ribosomal RNA". It matches the Rfam family "Bacterial small subunit ribosomal RNA", at positions 28 to 507 of the family's 1533-position model. The record is from RNAcentral.
GACGAACGCUGGCGGCGUGCUUAACACAUGCAAGUCGAACGGAAAGGCCCUGCUUUUGUGGGGUGCUCGAGUGGCGAACGGGUGAGUAACAUGUGAGUAACCUGCCCUUGACUUUGGGAUAACUUCAGGAAACUGGGGCUAAUACCGGAUAGGAGCUCCUGCUGCAUGGUGGGGGUUGGAAAGUUUCGGCGGUUGGGGAUGGACUCGCGGCUUAUCAGCUUGUUGGUGGGGUAGUGGCUUACCAAGGCUUUGACGGGUAGCCGGCCUGAGAGGGUGACCGGCCACAUUGGGACAGAGGUACGGGCCGAACUACUACGGGAGGCGGAAGAGGGGAAUAUUGCACAAUGGGGGGAAGCCUGAUGCAGCAACGCCGCGUGCGGGAUGACGGCCUUCGGGUAGAAAACCACUUUCGCCUGUGACGAAGCGUGAGUGACGGUAAUGGGUAAAGAAGCACCGGCUAACUACGUG